RNAcentral lists this ribosomal RNA (707 nucleotides) under Serratia marcescens. Its description in RNAcentral is "partial 23S ribosomal RNA". It matches the Rfam family "Bacterial large subunit ribosomal RNA", at positions 2242 to 2925 of the family's 2925-position model. The record is from RNAcentral. Lineage: Bacteria; Pseudomonadati; Pseudomonadota; Gammaproteobacteria; Enterobacterales; Yersiniaceae.
GGGGUGAGGACAGUGUCUGGUGGGUAGUUUGACUGGGGCGGUCUCCUCCCAAAGAGUAACGGAGGAGCACGAAGGUUAGCUAAUCACGGUCGGACAUCGUGAGGUUAGUGCAAAGGCAUAAGCUAGCUUGACUGCGAGAGUGACGGCUCGAGCAGGUACGAAAGUAGGUCUUAGUGAUCCGGUGGUUCUGAAUGGAAGGGCCAUCGCUCAACGGAUAAAAGGUACUCCGGGGAUAACAGGCUGAUACCGCCCAAGAGUUCAUAUCGACGGCGGUGUUUGGCACCUCGAUGUCGGCUCAUCACAUCCUGGGGCUGAAGUAGGUCCCAAGGGUAUGGCUGUUCGCCAUUUAAAGUGGUACGCGAGCUGGGUUUAGAACGUCGUGAGACAGUUCGGUCCCUAUCUGCCGUGGGCGUUGGAAGAUUGAGAGGGGUUGCUCCUAGUACGAGAGGACCGGAGUGAACGCACCACUGGUGUUCGGGUUGUCAUGCCAAUGGCAUUGCCCGGUAGCUAAGUGCGGAAAAGAUAAGCGCUGAAAGCAUCUAAGCGCGAAACUUGCCUCAAGAUGAGUCUUCCCUGGGCCUUCAAGGCCCCUGAAGGAACGUUUAAGACUAAGACGUUGAUAGGCUGGGUGUGUAAGUGCAGCGAUGCAUUGAGCUAACCAGUACUAAUGAUCCGUGAGGCUUAACCUUACAACACCGAAGGUGUUU